Molecule: long non-coding RNA, 443 nt
Organism: Micropterus dolomieu (smallmouth bass)
Lineage: Eukaryota; Metazoa; Chordata; Actinopteri; Centrarchiformes; Centrarchidae
Exons: 3
Source: RefSeq, a predicted model, not a curated record
CAUGCGCGCACCCGCUCAGCUCGCUCGGACCUGACGAGCGAAGCGGUCAGACCGGAGGUAAUAUCUGCGUGGCUUUUCAACGAUAGUAACUGAAAACUGACGAACACCAAGGGGCUGAAAAGUUACACCGUGGUGGCUUUAAUUCUGCUGGACAGGUCACCUGCAGUCUUCCAACACCCUGUGCUUCUCACCAGUACACUGAUCAGACUGCUGGCUGGCCUGGAUUACAACCACCGUGUCCACAGACCAGACAGGAGAAAAGAUGAUGACACAAUUCAGACUUCUGUGUCCACAUUACACACCAGGUCAAUGUUCAUGACACAGAUGAGCCGAUGGCUGAAGCAAAGUUGUAGUUAAUUUUUGUAAUCGGUAAACGAUAAUAAAAAAAGUAUAUAUUAUAAUAUUGAUGGCUUACAUAGCACUUUAUUUUUGACACCCAAAGG